Molecule: long non-coding RNA, 8566 nt
Organism: Melospiza melodia melodia
Lineage: Eukaryota; Metazoa; Chordata; Aves; Passeriformes; Passerellidae
Exons: 2
Source: RefSeq, a predicted model, not a curated record
GUCCGAGCGGCUCACCCGGGGCUGCCGGGGCCCUGGGGAGGGUGGUUGCUCCCACAGAGGAGGCGCUGCGGUUCAAUGAUACAAGUUUGGGGUUCAGUCGCUGGGAUGGCCGCGGCGCAGGGAACGAGUGCAUAGGGGCAGAAGGGAGUGCUGGUUCUCAGGGACAUCGCUCCUGGAUCACAGAGUAGAUGGGCUUUUCCCUGGCUUCAAUGCAAGCAGAGCUGAGUGCUGCUGAAAUCCAGAGACCUCCUUCUCGUGUGCAGCCUGUUCUCUCAUAUCCUCGCGAUUUAUUUGGCUCGUGAAGUUCUAAAAGACUUCAUUAAUGACCUGAAUUUGUUGUGCCUAUGGAAAUUGGCAAAUGUAUUUUAGCUACUAGCUAAAUGCUAGUAGCAGUGCUUUAAAUUGUAUCUUCUGAAUGUGCUUGACAGUUUAAUUUUAAUUUAAUAUAGCGGUUAAUUUGAAAACACUAAACAAGUUCUGGGAAAUGGGCUUAGAGAAUUAACUCAAACCCAAGUGUAAACCCUGUUGCUCUAGUCUGAUAGUGUUGCUAAUUACUGACUUUUCUCUUAUUUAAAAUAAUGUAUAUUUAGCUGCUUUUGUGUGUUGUGUCAAAGUCUUGUGGGACUGGGUUUGGCCACACUAAAAUGAGUUUUGGAAGUGGCAUGUCCUGUGUUACACUCAGCCUUUCUGUUUCUGCGUAGGUUAAUCUUGCUUUGUGCAGAUCUGUGACAAAACAGCGAGGAAUGCUAAUCUGCCAAAAACUAUUUGGGGUUCAAAUUAGAAAUCCACCCUCAAUUAAUCCCUUGGAUAUCUACAGACCUGGCACCUCUGAGCCAUGUCUCCAGCCAGAAUGAAAAAGACCAUUUUUUCCAAGCCAACUACACCAAAACUGUGGAGCAGGAGCUCUCAGUAAGGUGCUAAACUGGAAUAUGCUGGGUGAGGGCUUGGCUGUGCUGCACUGGCUGUAGGACCAGCAGUGAUGUUUGAGCACCCAGGGCUUUGCCAGACCUUAGCUUGGUGUUGGCUCUUCACCCUCUCUGCUGUUUCAUGGGCCUUUUCCAUGGUGUAAUUCCACCUUCGCAAAUAAAGCAUUUGGAACUAUUGAGUCAGGUGGAUGUACUGGUGGCAACCCUAAGCAGUUUAGAUAGCUAAAAUGAUGGCUAGUUGUAUAAUUUUAAAUUAAACUCUUGUUCGUCUAAAUGUGACCGUGUUAUUUAUACGUCAAUGUUUGCUGCCAAUUGUUGCACAGUGUACAGUAUCUUUCAUUGCAUCCUGUCCUUAUUGGUGAUCCUUUUUGAUGCUAACUACCCCCUUACAUUAUUUCAGACCAUGAGCAAUAAGGUGAUAAUAAAGAUUUGCACAGAUAAACUCCCUCACAUGUUCCUUCUGAGAGGAUGAAAAAAAUGUGGCAGGAUUUCCAUUUGAAUUAACGCAUGAAUGAGAGAGAAAUUAAAGGAAGUUCCUUAGUACAGCCCUGAUGCCUGUAGUAUUUAGAGGUCUUAGAGCUUCCUGAGACACAGCUGUGAGAUUCAAACACCCUGCACUUUUCCUGGUCUUGCCUUGGUUUGAAGGGCUGACAGGAGCGGGCAGAACGAUCCCACCCUCAGACUGGGGAGGGUCAGCAAUGUGGUUCCCUGAGGAGCUGUGGGAGCCGCGCUUACCCCGAGGGAAGGUCAGCAAAUGUGUAGGGGAAGAGCACAAUAGAUUCUGGAGCUGAGAAGAAGCCUUCUGUGCUGUGGCUGUUGUGCUGUCACAGCAGUGUUUACAGUGUCAUGCUGUGGUAGUGUUCUGUGGACACUCAUCAACCAGUGCUUGCCAGGCUCAGUAAAUUCUCUGGAAAAGCCUCUGAGGUCCUGAAAGGCUUGUGUCAGGGGACCCAAGCACUCUCCUGCCCUGUGGGAAUUGGCCUGGCUGCUGUUGUCAGCCUGUGCCACUCAGGUACUGGUGCCUCUGAAGCUGCCCAGGUUAUACCGGGGUCUUCUGGGUGAAACGGGAAAAAGAGAGAGAAGCACAAAGGAAUAUAAUUAUUUUUAGUCCUUAUGUUGCUGAAGUGGGAGGCUCUGGCCCUCCAGUUAUCCAGGGUGAUACCUUUUUUUUGCUGUGGUUCCUCUCAUUCCUUAAUACCCUCCUGUAGCUCUUUCAGACCAGGUAGCAUGUACUGCUGCCAACACAGAGAUGCAUCGACAAACACAUCCCGUGCAGCCACAGACAGGGGAACAAUGAAUGCUGGAUCUGGCAGAAACACUCAUUAUGACAGGUUUUUAAUUAGUAGGUCUCACUGCUGGGCUGUUGUCUGUGGUUCUGCCUUGUUCCUCCACUUUCCAGGGAAGGGGAGAGGUUUCGUGAGGUGGGAAAUGCUGCAGGCUGCAGUGGGUGCUCUGUUCAGACCUAAUUGUGGAAGGAAUUAUCUAGCAGACACCACUGAAAGAAAGGGAUGGGGUCUCUUGCUUAGAACAGAUAGAAGUUGCAGUUUGCUGGAGGACAGAGGCAGGACAGCAUGUUUUGGCUCAGUUGUAGCCUGAAUGUUGGUGGCCGUGGUGGGAUGCCAGCACCGGGGUGGAUGUACCUAUGGUGUGACUUAAGCUGUUCUUUUGUUGUGAGCAACUUUUAUUUUUUCUGGAGUUUCCUUGGUAGUGCAGAAACUGAAAUUACCUAACUAAGAACUUACAGUUGCUCUUCCAGGACAGCAAAAACAAAGUUGUUCUUGGAAGCCAGGAGCGCUGCUGUUCUGUAGUAUGGCCGCAUAGAAUUUUAUCACCUUGUCCCUGCCAUCCUCACAUGUGGUUCUGUUUUUAGGCUGCAGAAGAAAACCUGGAUCCCAAAUUUCCAUUUCCACAGGGCAGAAGGUGAUACAGCUUGGAAUAUAUGGGCUUGUCAUUUCCCCAGGGUUAUUUCUCCUUUCUUGUUAAUCCAUGACCUCAAAGUCAAACUUUGUAUUAAGUAAUGUAAAAGAAGUGACAGUUGCAGAGUGUCUGGUGAUUGGCUUUAUCUCCUGUACUGCAAGGAGUUAAUCUGGAUGGUUAGGCAUUUGCACCAGGCAUUGAUACUGCUUUGAGGGAAGGAUUUUUGUGCUUGUCAUUAAACCAUUAGAACAGUACAAAAUUGAGAAGGAAGAGAGCUUUUGGGUUUUCUGAGUCCUCCACAGUGCAAGAUUAUUCCCUGUGGUAUUCUCCAAUGCUUUGUCCUAGCUACUCUGAAAUUACCUAGGCUAGAGAGACAGACUAUUAGUAGACAUCUGAAUUUCAGCUAAAGAAUGAGGUAAGCUGAAUGCUUUGAAACAUUGAAAUUUAAAAAAUCACAAGUCAGUCUUAAAACACAGAAGCACCCCAAUGACAGUGGAUAACCCAGCAUUUUCUGGGUGGUGUAGUCUAUUUUAAAGGGUGGAACUGCUGCCAGUUUUGCUGUUCCCACUGUGUCAGAGCCAGGACAUCCUUGGACCUAUCCCCUAGAAAAGCAGAGCAUCCCCAAGCAUCACUGCAACUCUACAGCAAAGAGAUUUAUAACUGUGAUAGAAUUGGCGUGAUUUUGCUUACUAAUCAUGAUUGCCACUGACUUUUUAUGUGCGCUGGAGAGUCUUGCCUUCAAUGUUAUGGUGGAGACAAGCUAACACACAGGAGAAUUGUCAGUUUUUGUUUCUGCACUUUAUUGACUCACUGUCUUUGAAAUGCAGCUGCAGAUGAGAAAGCAUGUUAUUCCAAAGAACAGUUUUGACUGGCCAAGUGGAUCAGGAUUGGCAGAGAGGUGAUUUUGCAGUCUGCAUGAACGUCUGCCUCUCAUUUGGUUGUCAGAUGACAGAGAGAAAUGCAGAAGUUGCAGAAUGAGCAACUGCUCCCUAAAAUAAAUCAAUUCCUGUGUCUGCUGAGGGUCUCAGGGAUGGGGGUUGAGCUGGUGCCUGGAUUACAAAUGAGCCUUUGCAGCAGGGCACAGCUCCUUUGGCCCAGCACCAUCUUUAGGGGGGUCAGUAGCUCCGGGGCGGGCAGCAGUCGCAGCUGCCUGAGCCCAGAUUGGAGUGGUGGUGGCUGGCAGAAGCAGGGUUGGGGAAAGGGAUGGGUUAACUGCUUGCCUUUCCUCCAAUGGACCUGGGAGAGAUGAUUCCAUUGUUAUUUCUGGGAUGAAAUAAAGCCAGUCACAAGGCUGCUCCUGUAUUCCAGACUCCUAAGCAGAGUAGCUUUGAUUGGGAAUGAAUUUGAGGAGAGGUCAAAAUGGGGACAGAAGUUGAGUAGGGUGAAGGGAUGGUGUACAAAAUUCCCCGAGUGCGUGUGUGGGCUGGGAACAGUGUGUAGGAGGAUGAUUUGGCCUGUGGGAGCUCAGAGAGCUGCAAAAGGCAAGUUUUGGGGUCUGAUUUUUUCCUGUUCAGAAGAGCAGAAAUCUGUGCCUUCAUGUAAAAGCAGAAUUACACCCAGGAAGGUUUCUGCUUACAGCCACAGUUAUUUCCAAAAUCUUUGCUAGUUGACUGGGUCAAAAGAGGCAUCUGGACUGGACACAGAGGUUCCACUUUGCUCUAAGAAGUGGUACCCCACAAAACCAGGGGCAGUUUCGCACAGGCAGGAGAGCCCUGGUGCCCAUUAUUCUUAAUACCUGCAGAAAUUUAGGUUAGGACUAAGGUUUUGAUUCAUUUGAAUCUGUUUCAGCCCAGAAGCUGAAUUCUCACGUGUAGCCCCGAGCUCCCCAGCUGUGCACAAAGGAAGGGCAGGACAUGGGGCUGCCCUCCUCUGCUCUGCUCUGCUCCCUCCAGCUGUUUGUCGUUCUGUGCAUAACUCACCUGCAGUCCUUGACUUUUUAAAUGGCAAAAAGCAAGCACAAUGCACUGGUUCCCUGUCCUUAUACUGGCAUUCUUGUCUGUCUGGGUGCCACCUUGCAGCAAUUCCUGUGUGCAGGGAGGAUGAAAGCAGGUGUGUUUAUUGACUUGUGCUGUUAAUUGUUGCUGUGCCUGAGCAGUUCCUGGCAGGAUGCUGCGUGGCUUUCACCCAGCAGUUUGCAGCUUGCUCUGGUGGCCGUGGCCAGGCUGCUGGCUGCACGUCCCUCUGCGUGAAGCCCAGAACAGGAAAGCCAGACUCUGUCAGGAAAAGAACCAACCGGGAGAGAAGCAAAAUAAAAAAUUAUAAAACCACAGAGAUGGGUUUUAAAUCUGGCUGUUGGCUUCUCAGCCCACAAAUGACUUCUGUCACCAUAAUAAAAGGCAUGCUAUUGCUAACUUUUUCAGACUGGUGUCUGAAAAAUCAGUUCACAGAAAUUCUUGCUGACAGUUGUGGAUGCUAGGUCACAGCUCUGUGGUGUGCAUUUUACAGCUUAACGCAGCAAACCAAGGACAGGAUUACCUUCAGAUUGCUCUUGGGAAAGACUUAAGGAAGCUAAAGUGGGCCAGCCAGGGGGAGGGAAUGCAGGUAAGGUCUGUAGCAUCCCAGCUUGUUUUGCUUAACAGGGUGAUUGGAAAUUCCCCAUGAAAAAUAACGAACCUGUAUUCCAUCAUCUGUUUUAAACCAGGAAAGUGGUUGCAAAGAUAAAAGGUUGAAAAGUUUCUAUAUUCUUUACAGAUCAGUUCUUUGUGGAAAUGCAAUUCCUAUGUUUUAAGCUUUUUGGCAAAAAAUUAAAAUAUGACCAUCAAGUAGCAUGCAGAUCUGGUCCACCUAAAAUUUCACAUUGGGGGUGGAUUUUUAAUGACUGAACUGUUUUUUGUCCAGCUCUGGACCCUUCCUCCUUGAGAACGUUUUUGGUCAAGUAGGUCAGUGCAGUGUGGCCCCAGCCAUCCAUAGAGGUUGUGCCCAGUGUGGCAAGUGUGGUGCAGAAGCAAGAGGCACCGGCCACAUCGUGCAGGCACAUCUGCUCUUAUCAGCCCUGUCCAGUGCCCCAGCACGUGCCUGUUGCUGUGCACAAGCCAGAUCAAAGAGCUGGUGCAGGCAGAUAACCCAGAGCCAGGCAAGACAAGUUUGCAGCCAGGCUGAGCUCUGUGUCUGGCAGCACCCAGGGCAGUGCAGGAGAGUAGGGCGUGUUGGGAGUGGGCAGUGGACAGGCAGGGAUGCUGCAGGAGGCAGCACACAUGGGGCAGCACACAACUUCUGUCCUGUCCACUUUUCUAGUGGGGCAUCCCUCAGCCUUCCUCUGUCCAUGGCUCCUAACAGAGAUGUGCUUUCCCUGUGGAAAUACAUCUGGGGUUUCUUUUGGCUUCUUCAGUGGCUGGCUUUCCAACUAGCGGAUCACUUUGCACCCUCUGCAGAAAUGUUACAAUUGUUUAUUGAAUGAGAGAUUAUUCAUUAGUGGUGGGAAAAAAUAACGGUGAAAGUUGAAAUUAUAAAAAUCCAGACUUCACUGGCCCAAUGAAGGACACCAGCAAGGAUUUGCCCACCAAAACCUGUCUGAGAACAGAGGGACCUGGUGGCAGAGGUAAAGUGCACACUUGCCCUGGGACUCGCAUGUUGCAAGUCCUAUGGUGACCUGAAAGAACGGUGAGGCCCUGGCAUAAGUUGCCCAGAGCAGCUGGGGCUGCCCCUUGGAUUCCUGGAUCCAAGACCAGGUGGACAGGGCUUGGAGCAACCAAGUGGAGGGCGUCUCUGCCCAUGGAAGGGGAUGGAAUGGCAUGAGCUUUAAGGGUCCUUCCAACCCAAACCAUUCUGUGAUUCCAUGAAAGCAAUGCUGCCCAAAAUGUGAUGGAUGUGGGAGUCUCAGCACCUGAACCCUUGCAUGUUGUAAAUUACAUGUGCCGAGAAAUCAGUUUUAUCUACUAAACAGAACACUGAAUAAAAUAAAGGAAGUGGGUAGGAGUGAGCCUGAGGUAUCUGCUAUAACAAGGGUAGGAGCAGAGAGCUUAUUUGAGUAUGGAUUUGUGAACACAGAAAUAAACUCUCUUCAAAUACCUUUUUACUCUCCUUCUUAAUUGCAUGGAAGUUACAUAUUAAUGGGAGAACUGGCUUUUCUAAAAAGGUGUUUUUACAAAUAUUUAAUGGUGGCCUGUAAGAAUCAUCAGAUAUUGGGUUCCCUCUAUCACACUUUAAAAAUAGUUUGAUCAAUAGAAACAUGGAAUGUUUUAUGGGGAAUAUUUUCAUUCAGAAAUGCUGAUAUGAGGCAGGUGCCAGAACCGCAUAUUAAUAAGGUGCAUUUCUUUUUUCAGGUAACGUGCUGUGACGGAUGUGUUCCUUGGGUACCUGCAAAUAUUACCCUGUGCAGUUGUCCAGAUGUUCCUCUCUGUGACUGACCCAGAGGAACAGUCCUGUGGCUGCUGCUCAGUUCUUGCAGGUCUCCAUCAGGAUUUGGGGGGUGAAGCUCCCGGAGCAGUGGUGGCUGAGCCUGACGCUGCCUCCCUGCAGUGAUGGGAGUGCAGGGGGCUGUGCUUUGGUGCAUGUGCUCUGUGCCACGCCUGAGCCGCCAAAGCUUCCCCCCAGGGAACAAUUUCAGAGAGCCAUACCUGUGUGCUGGAAGGCAGACAGGUCUCUAAGAGCUUUCCCACAUGUUCACAGCAGCUGCCCAGGGAUUGCAGCACAGCUGGGGACCUUGGUUAAUCUCUGCAGCUUCUGUAGCCCAGGUCUCACCCCACUCUUUUACUGUAGGUCUGGUAUCAUGCUUACACUAACUUCUUUAAAAACCAUGCCAGCAUCUGGAUUUUCUCGUGGGAGGAUCAGAUCCUGGUGGCCAUUUGUUGGUUUAAAAGGCCAGCCCUGGCAGCCCUUGAGGCCAGCUCUGCAAGGAAGCAAAGGCCUGGUGGUGAGGAGACCAAUGCCAGGGCCAGACAGUUUCACUCUAUACAAGACGCUUUGCUACAUCUGCUUUAUUUCAUAUUUCACUUCUAGCUGCUUUUCUUUUGCUUUUUAACACAGUGAGCUCUUCCCAGAGCUCUUCUUUGAGAUUGCUGUGGAUGCUUAACACACCUGUGAUUUCAGGGACACCAGUUUCUGAGGUGUGCUUCUCUAGGAAAAGAGACUUGCAGCAAUAAUAUUGGUGUUUAUUUUCUACAGUGUUGAUAGACCCUAGUGUUCCCUUUCUUUCUGGCAUCUAGUUAUUCCAGCGUAUUUUAGUGGUAUCAAUUCCCAACAGUAAGCAAUGUAAAGGGGUAACCUUUGUUUCUCUGGGAAUAAUGAGACAAAGACAUGGAUUGCUCUCUUUCUGCACAGACCGCAAGUGACAGCCUUGCUAACGUGCUUCCAGGUAAUUACUUGUGCAGUUUAGAUAAUUUUGGUAGAUACUUAUGCAAUGUAUUUGAUUUUACUCACUGUUUUGCUGUGGAAGGGCACAGGAAAUGUUUACCAGGCAGGCAUGCCUAGGUUGCUCUCUCAUUUCUUUUUCUUAUCAGCAAAACAUAAACCCACAGCUUGAUGACAAUGAAACCAUAUGUUUCCUCUUUUUGGCAAAUCAGUUUUGCAAUACAGAUAAUCCUGGCCGUACAUGAGAAGAGAUAUUUUGAAUUAUUUUAAUUUUUACAUUACUCACUAUUUUUGCCUGCCUAGAAAUUAUGUAUGUGUUUAUUUCUGAACCCAGAGGUUGGGUGAAUUAAGAGUUUAGGGAGAACACUAUGCUUUAGUGUCUGUCUUACUUUGAGGACAGUUAUUUGUCAUAUGCAAUAACCUGUUUGUUGUAG